GUAGGGAAUAUUGCGCAAUGGACGAAAGUCUGACGCAGCAACGCCGCGUGUGGGAUGAAGCUCCUUGGAGUGUAAACCACUGUCGGGGGGGACGAACGAUCAGGGCUCUAACAUAUCCCUGGUUUGACGGUACCCCUAAAGGAAGCUCCGGCUAACUCCGUGCCAGCAGCCGCGGUAAUACGGGGGGAGCAAGCGUUGUUCGGAAUCACUGGGCGUAAAGGGUGCGCAGGCGGGAAAUUAAGUCGGAUGUGAAAACCUCGGGCUCAACCCGAGGCCUGCAUUCGAAACUGGUUUUCUUGAGUAUCGGAGAGGAAAGUGGAACUCCAGGUGUAGCGGUGAAAUGCGUAGAUAUCUGGAGGAACACCGGUGGCGAAGGCGGCUUUCUGGCCGAAUACUGACGCUCAUGCACGAAGGCUAGGGGAGCAAACAGGAUUAGAAACCCCUGUAGUCC
RNAcentral lists this ribosomal RNA (451 nucleotides) under uncultured bacterium. RNAcentral's name for it is "bacterial SSU rRNA". It matches the Rfam family "Bacterial small subunit ribosomal RNA", at positions 354 to 796 of the family's 1533-position model. The record is from RNAcentral.